RNAcentral lists this ribosomal RNA (432 nucleotides) under Metschnikowia reukaufii. RNAcentral's name for it is "eukaryotic LSU rRNA". It matches the Rfam family "Eukaryotic large subunit ribosomal RNA", at positions 76 to 550 of the family's 3401-position model. The record is from RNAcentral. Lineage: Eukaryota; Fungi; Ascomycota; Pichiomycetes; Serinales; Metschnikowiaceae.
UGCCUCAGUAAMGGCGAGUGAAGCGGCAAAAGCUCAAAUUUGAAAUCCUUCGGGAAUUGUAUUUUGAAGGUGGGUUUGGUUAGGAAAAGUUACUUUAAGUCCAUUGGAAAAUGGCGCCAUGGAGGGUGAUAGCCCCGUAAAAGUAUCCCUUUUCCUUUUAUCCAUUCCCUCCAAAGAGUCGAGUUGUUUGGGAAUGCAGCUCUAAGUGGGUGGUAAAUUCCAUCUAAAGCUAAAUAUUGGCGAGAGACCGAUAGCGAACAAGUACAGUGAUGGAAAGAUGAAAAGCACUUUGAAAAGAGAGUGAAAAAGUACGUGAAAUUGUUGAAAGGGAAGGGCUUGCAAGCAGACACAACCUCGGUUGGGCCAGCAUCGGAGUGGGGGGAGACAAAAAAGAAAAGGAAUGUAACUCUUUCGAGUAUUAUAGCCUUUUUC